This 324-nucleotide ribosomal RNA is filed under the name Triticum aestivum (bread wheat). RNAcentral describes it as "partial small subunit ribosomal RNA". The record is from RNAcentral. Lineage: Eukaryota; Viridiplantae; Streptophyta; Magnoliopsida; Poales; Poaceae.
AUGGCGACAAAGAAACAUCUCUUUCGUUUUGGGUCUUUCGCGAUAAAGAACGGCUCGGAGAUUCGUUUUUGGGAAGACAUAUGGCUAGGCAAUGCCAGUCUCCGAGAACAAUAUCGAGCCUUAUACAACAUUGCCCGCGAUAAGAAUAAUACUAUUGCGCAGGUGCUCAAUUCAUCCCCACCGAAUAUUUCGUUCAGACCGGAUUUGAUUGGCCCCCGACUUGUGUCAUGUCAUAAUCUUUUAUCCAGAUUUGAUUCGAUUAACCUGGCAGAAGGUCGUGAUGUGUUUCGCUGGAACCUUACUACAUUUGGGUCUUUCACUGUA